ACAUAUACACACAUGCAAAUGUAACUAUCACAUACAUAAAUCAUAUAUAUCUUGUAGCUCUCCAACUAUUAACACACAAAUUCUUGAUCAACACAUCAUUUUCUCAACAAAAUUGAAAAAAAAAAGAAGAGAAACAAAGAGAAAGAAACAGCUUUAUGGGGUGCGAGUGCUUACAACAGAUAAGAUCAGGAUCUUCACUUGGUGAUGGCGUAGACAGCAUAAAUAAUUCCAGGGAGGUAGCCAAAGAAGGUGAGAAGCAAGCAGAUCCAAAACUCCACCUGAAGCAUGCAUAAAUAUAUGUGUAUAUAUAAUCACAUGAUCGAUCUGUGUUUAAUUAUAAGUAAAACUAACUGUGUGUGUGUGUGUGUAAAUUAAUGAGAGAAUAUGGACGGACGUACCCCGCAGCCAAACUUGAGGAAGACACCAAGAGGAGGCAAGAUGAUGGCCAACAAGAUGUCUACGCAAGUGGCUGUUCCCUCGUCUGCCAUCUCCUUAAUUCUUCUGAAAGAUCUAUAUAUACUGCUCUUGAGAAACUGUUUUUCUUCUUUGUGGUGCUAAUAUAUUCUGCGAUGUACAGAGAGUUGAAGAUUGAGGUUGGUUAUAUAUAGGCGCCCCAGAGCCACGUACCCACUGCCCACUAACACAAACUUCCGGUGUACACGUGUCCCACACGUACGUGGUCUAGUAAUACCUACGUUGUAUAAAAAACGAGGAUCAUAUGCACUUCCUUCCUUCGUGUAGGAGUCGUUAAUUAGACGACAAAGGGAGGGGAGGGGAAGGGAAGGGAAGGGGAAGGGGUGGAUGGCACGCUUUUGGGUUGUCAGAAUCGUAUUCAUAUUUGAUAUUUAAUUAUGUACAGGUAGAUAGCUAAGUUUCCUCACAUGCAUGCUGCUUUCCCAGCCAUGUGAUCUUGCUUCUUCUACCACUGGGCAGGCACUUAGCUGUAUCGGGCCGCAAGCACUCCUUCCUUCCCACGCUGCUAUGUUUGUUUGUUUUUGUGAUUCUGCAUUCCAUUUAACUUUAAUUAGUUUAUACA
Long non-coding RNA from Populus nigra (black poplar), 1036 nucleotides. RefSeq lists it as uncharacterized. The transcript is spliced from 2 exons. The record is from RefSeq and is a predicted model, not a curated record. NCBI's taxonomy places the organism in Eukaryota, Viridiplantae, Streptophyta, Magnoliopsida, Malpighiales, Salicaceae.